UGUUUGGCCACGGGCUACUCUGCAAGUGACGUCACUUAAGUAUGGCGGCAGCCACUUGUGAUUUGUUAAUACUUAAUAGCAUUGAUCGCAUGUAGCGUGUACGAUAAUGAGUUUAUGGAGAGAGAUUGUACGCACGCUUGUGGACAGUGCAUAAAGUACAGCGAAAUGUGAAAAAAUCAAAGAUCACAUGUGCAAGACGAGCACGUUGUUACAACCUAUAAAGAAGUGUUUUAUUCCAGUCAUCAGACGGAAAAAUUGUGGAAGGUGUGACUUUACUGAGGAUUUUUGAUGAUGUGAGAGACUCCAUCCGUACUGAAAAGUCACCUUCAAGGGAUUUCAUCAUCAGUGACAGUCGGCACCUGACAAUGAAGUGUUGACUAUGUGUGUGGCCUCUGAUCACACAUACUGUAAGACUGAACUUGAUCUACUCUUUACUCACAUAAUGGUUUAUAGGACCUUUGGGGAAAGUUUUCAUAUAAAAAUGAGUAACGCAUAAAGUUUUUAUGGUGAUAUGGAAAUUCAACUGUUGUUAAUAAAGAAAGCAAAUGACUUGCA
Molecule: long non-coding RNA, 555 nt
Organism: Schistocerca serialis cubense
Lineage: Eukaryota; Metazoa; Arthropoda; Insecta; Orthoptera; Acrididae
Exons: 2
Source: RefSeq, a predicted model, not a curated record